GAAAUGCGAUAAGUAAUGUGAAUUGCAGAAUUCAGUGAAUCAUCGAAUCUUUGAACGCACCUUGCGCUCCUUGGUAUUCCGAGGAGCAUGCCUGUUUGAGUGUCAUGGAAUUCUCAACCCACACGUCCUUGUGAUGCUGUGGGCUUGGACUUGGAGGCUUGCUGGCCCUCGUCGGUCGGCUCCUCUUGAAUGCAUUAGCUUGAUUCCGUGCGGAUCGGCUCUCAGUGUGAUAAUUGUCUACGCUGUGACCGUGAAGCGUUUGGCGAGCUUCUAACCGUCCUGUAUGGGACAACCUCUUGACAUCUGACCUCAAAUCAGGUAGGACUACCCGCUGAACUUAA
RNAcentral lists this ribosomal RNA (341 nucleotides) under Trametes coccinea. Its description in RNAcentral is "eukaryotic LSU rRNA". The stretch from base 1 to 105 matches the Rfam family "5.8S ribosomal RNA", at positions 50 to 154 of the family's 154-position model. The record is from RNAcentral. Lineage: Eukaryota; Fungi; Basidiomycota; Agaricomycetes; Polyporales; Polyporaceae.